This 205-nucleotide long non-coding RNA is filed under the name Malus domestica (apple). Its description in RNAcentral is "long non-coding RNA (MDOM_LNC015709)". The record is from RNAcentral. Lineage: Eukaryota; Viridiplantae; Streptophyta; Magnoliopsida; Rosales; Rosaceae.
GAGAACCUUGACGAAUUCGGCGCGUUAAGGGUCAUCAACACGAUCCCAUCGACAAAGAAGAAGCAGAAUGGGCCUCUUGCGUGGCCUAUGGCAUCAGCCGGUCUCUGGGCUUCUGGGCCAGUAAAUUGGAGAGAGGCCUGGGCUUUGACUUGCAGAGAGAUUGGGCUCUGGGAGCCGCUUGUAGUAUUUUGGCUAAAGGGGUUGC